UGAUGAAAGCGUUACCCUUGAAAUCAACCGCGACGGCGUUCGCGACGGGGCGAUGACCGGAGGUUCCAUCGGAAGGGAGAGGUGUUAAGGAGAUGCGAUGGCGAGAUCGGAGGUCGUAGGAGGCGAGGGCAUUGAAUUCUGGGAGAGGUGGGGCGUGGACGGCGGCGAGGAGGCGGCUGUUGACGGAAUCGAUGGCAAGGCCUAAGAUCGAGGCGUUUUCGGGGAGGCUGGGAUCGCGGAUAAGAGUUUCGGCGACGCCGGCGUCGGAGACGGAGACGAGAGUGCGUUGGUGGAGUGAGCCGACGACGAAAUGCUGGGCUGAUGUGUCCCAAACGAGGCCCUCCGGGUAGAGAUUUGGGGAUCGGAAAUCGAUAAGGUGGGGCUUUCGAGCUAGGGUUUGGGAGAGGAACAAUUGGAGGAAGACGAAUAGGAGAAUUGGAGAGCGAUUAACGGGCGCCAUGGGAUUGAUUUGAGAUUAG
This 479-nucleotide long non-coding RNA is filed under the name Cucumis sativus (cucumber). Its description in RNAcentral is "long non-coding RNA (CSAT_LNC001855)". The record is from RNAcentral. Lineage: Eukaryota; Viridiplantae; Streptophyta; Magnoliopsida; Cucurbitales; Cucurbitaceae.